RNAcentral lists this ribosomal RNA (338 nucleotides) under Boophis sp. 47 MV-2013. RNAcentral describes it as "partial 16S ribosomal RNA". It matches the Rfam family "Bacterial large subunit ribosomal RNA", at positions 2017 to 2520 of the family's 2925-position model. Lineage: Eukaryota; Metazoa; Chordata; Amphibia; Anura; Mantellidae. The record is from RNAcentral.
UGUCUCCCCCCCCCAAUCAGUGAAACUGAUCUCUCCGUGAAGAAGCGGAGAUAUUUACAUAAGACGAGAAGACCCCAUGGAGCUUUAAACCCGAUAACACCCACUUACUUUAUACCCUUACACACUUUUGGCCUCUGCUUACUCGGUUUUAGGUUGGGGUGACCACGGAGUAUAAAACAACCUCCAUGAAGAAAGGAAAAAUUAACCUCAUCAGAGAAUGACACUUCCAAGAACUAACAAAUUAAUUUUUAAUGAUCCGACAUUCGAUCAACGAACCAAGUUACCCUGGGGAUAACAGCGCAAUCUACCUCAAGAGCCCCUAUCGACAGGUGGGUUUA